This is a transfer RNA of 75 nucleotides. It matches the Rfam family "tRNA". Rfam says of the family: Transfer RNA (tRNA) molecules are approximately 80 nucleotides in length. Their secondary structure includes four short double-helical elements and three loops (D, anti-codon, and T loops). Further hydrogen bonds mediate the characteristic L-shaped molecular structure. tRNAs have two regions of fundamental functional importance: the anti-codon, which is responsible for specific mRNA codon recognition, and the 3' end, to which the tRNAs corresponding amino acid is attached (by aminoacyl-tRNA synthetases). tRNAs cope with the degeneracy of the genetic code in two manners: having more than one tRNA (with a specific anti-codon) for a particular amino acid; and 'wobble' base-pairing, i.e. permitting non-standard base-pairing at the 3rd anti-codon position.
AGCGAGGUAGAGCAGCCUGGAGUGCUCGCUGGGCUCAUAACCCAGAGGUCCGAAGUUCACAUCUUCCCCUCGCUA